CAGGACUCAAUGGCCUAUAUGGGUUUCCUUUGUUCCAAAAGGGAUCUUUACACUUGGUUUCCUCAUCUCUUUACGGACUAUGAUAAAACCAAUAUGGCUCGUCUUGCACCCUGCCCUGGAACGGUGGAAACAACCAGAACCACGUUUAGGUUCGAGUCGUCCACUCGCCAUUUCAGAGCCAAACACGUCCAGAGUAUAAACGCCGGUUUGACCUUGCCUCAAGGGUAUAUCUAAAUAUCUAAGACAAGCAUAUUCAGGUAGUCCUUUUUACAAAAAUAUUUCUUGUAAUAUUUAAAUCACAAACAAUCCAAAACCUAAUAGAAAACCGAUGGAGGGAAAACGUUCUCAUUGUGAAAAUAUUUACCUCAACACUUUGGUGAAUGCAGUUAACAGGCCUAAACGCAGGGACAGGAGGGAUGUUUUCAGCCCCAUCUUCGGAUCCUCUAAUAAUGGCUUUAAUAGGGGGUGGGAAUGCGUCUCCUGAAAAGGAAGGAAUUCCAUUAGCACGACAGUUAGACCUCUUUUCAAAAAGUCUCUUUUUUUUCCCUCUCAUCACUGGCAAGCAUACCCCAUCUGACAGCCAGCGAAAAUGCAUCUUCAAGCAUCAUCUGUGUGGGCAAUAUGCAAAACCAUCUCUUCUCCUCAAGACAGGAUUGCAGUCGAGUAUAACCUCGUCCAUUUUCGACAUUUCUAACUGAGCUACAUCAUUUAAACCUACAUGGAAAUGUUUUAAUAAGGUAACGGAUUUUUUUAGCUAUUUAAUCAAAUUUUUUAAUUGCUUAUACGUGAACAUAUUAGCCACAGACGUUUAAAACUUGACAAGACGAUUAUAGGGAAAACUGCUGUAGCCCACAUUUUUAAUGAUACAGCAAACUUACAGUUGAUAUUCAAAAUAUGUAAUCCAAGUCUUAAACGAGCAAAAAGCAAUCUUAUGAGGAGGAAAUCUUGUGUUUUUCUACUGAUUUCUUACAUCCAAAUAAACCUUUUGGUGUUCAGGAGGCUGCUCUUGCUCAGUUCUCUGUCUCAAAAUGGCUUCUUCACAGACAAAAGGAGUACUGUGCUGUGAAAUGUUGCUGCGCCAUAACUGGGUGAGGCUCUGGAAAGCGCCCUUAUUUUUUUCGUCGGAACACUUCCUUCUGUGUUUUCGGCACUAAGAAACAAAUAUGACGACUGUAACGAAUGUGGUUAUCGUCCAAAUGCUGUUUAGUUAAAAAAAAAAAAA
Poecilia latipinna (sailfin molly) is the source of this 1222-nucleotide long non-coding RNA. RefSeq lists it as uncharacterized. NCBI's taxonomy places the organism in Eukaryota, Metazoa, Chordata, Actinopteri, Cyprinodontiformes, Poeciliidae. The transcript has 2 exons. The record is from RefSeq and is a predicted model, not a curated record.